RNAcentral lists this unclassified non-coding RNA (204 nucleotides) under Hevea brasiliensis (rubber tree). The record is from RNAcentral. Lineage: Eukaryota; Viridiplantae; Streptophyta; Magnoliopsida; Malpighiales; Euphorbiaceae.
UUACAAAACAACACCCUCUGGAGGCGCGCGUGGUCUUGUCCUUGAUGAUGUUGACUUCGUCGACCAAAGCGAACUCUUUGAACAUUGCGAGAAGCUGAGCUUCGGUCAUGUGCUUGGGCACUUGACCUACAAACAGCUUAACGCACUCUUCGCUCGAUUUAUUUUCCUCUUUACCCUCCGCCAUUAAUGCCUAUAGACCACAGA